This 440-nucleotide ribosomal RNA is filed under the name uncultured bacterium. Its description in RNAcentral is "partial 16S ribosomal RNA". It matches the Rfam family "Bacterial small subunit ribosomal RNA", at positions 338 to 795 of the family's 1533-position model. The record is from RNAcentral.
CCUACGGGAGGCAGCAGUGAGGGAUAUUGGUCAAUGGGGGAAACCCUGAACCAGCAACGCCGCGUGAGGGAAGACGGUUUUCGGAUUGUAAACCUCUGUCCUCUGUGAAGAUAAUGACGGUAGCAGAGGAGGAAGCUCCGGCUAACUACGUGCCAGCAGCCGCGGUAAUACGUAGGGAGCAAGCGUUGGCCGGAUUUACUGGGUGUAAGGGGUGCGUAGGCGGCUUUGCAAGUCAGAAGUGAAAUCCAUGGGCUUAACCCAUGAACUGCUUUUGAAACUGCAGAGCUUGAGUGGAGAAGAGGUAGGCGGAAUGCCCGGUGUAGCGGUGAAAUCCGUAGAUAUCUGGAGGAACAUCAGUGGCGAAGGCGACUAUCUGACACAUAACUGACGCUGAGGAGCGAAAGCGUGGGUAGCAAACAGGAUUAGAUACCCCAGUAGUC